Molecule: ribosomal RNA, 442 nt
Filed under: uncultured bacterium
Lineage: Bacteria
Description: partial 16S ribosomal RNA
Rfam family: Bacterial small subunit ribosomal RNA
Source: RNAcentral
CCUACGGGUGGCAGCAGUAGGGAAUCUUUCACAAUGGGCGAAAGCCUGAUGGAGCAACGCCGCGUGCAGGAUGAAGGCCUUCGGGUUGUAAACUGCUUUUAUAAGCGAGAAAUAUGAUGGUAACUUAUGAAUAAGUAUCGGCUAACUACGUGCCAGCAGCCGCGGUCAUACGUAGGAUCCGAGCAUUAUCCGGAGUGACUGGGUGUAAAGAGUUGCGUAGGUGGCAUAAUAAGUAGCUAGUGGAAUCUGGUGGCUCAACCAUUCAGCCUAUUAGCUAAACUGUUAAGCUCGAGACCGUUAGAGGUAACUGGAAUUUCUAGUGUAGGAGUGAAAUCCGUAGAUAUUAGAAGGAACACCAAUAGCGUAGGCAGGUUGCUGGGACGGUUCUGACACUAAGGCACGAAAGCGUAGGGAGCAAACGGGAUUAGAUACCCGGGUAGUC